AACGAACGCUGGCGGCAUGCCUAACACAUGCAAGUCGAACGAGACCUUCGGGUCUAGUGGCGCACGGGUGCGUAACGCGUGGGAACCUGCCCUUAGGUUCGGAAUAACUCCCCGAAAGGGGUGCUAAUACCGGAUAAUGUCUUCGGACCAAAGAUUUAUCGCCUUUGGAUGGGCCCGCGUUGGAUUCGCUCGUUGGUAGGGUAAAAGCCUACCAAGGCGACGAUCCAUAGCUGGUCUGAGAGGAUGAUCAGCCACACUGGGACUGAGACACGGCCCAGACUCCUACGGGAAGCAGCAGUGGGGAAUAUUGGACAAUGGGCGAAAGCCUGAUCCAGCAAUGCCGCGUGAGUGAUGAAGGCCUUAGGGUUGUAAAGCUCUUUUACCCGGGAUGAUAAUGACAGUACCGGGAGAAUAAGCUCCGGCUAACUCCGUG
RNAcentral lists this ribosomal RNA (433 nucleotides) under uncultured bacterium. RNAcentral describes it as "partial 16S ribosomal RNA". It matches the Rfam family "Bacterial small subunit ribosomal RNA", at positions 29 to 507 of the family's 1533-position model. The record is from RNAcentral.